Molecule: long non-coding RNA, 557 nt
Organism: Pipistrellus kuhlii (Kuhl's pipistrelle)
Lineage: Eukaryota; Metazoa; Chordata; Mammalia; Chiroptera; Vespertilionidae
Exons: 2
Source: RefSeq, a predicted model, not a curated record
GUCUAUAGACAUCAAUACCAGCCAGAGUCACCAUCUCAGCAGAGGUGGCCCUAUUCCAAGCCAUAGGUGUGGGUCACAGCACAUAAAAAAAAGAGGCUGCCACCUCUAAUUUCUUUAAAUGUUUCACUCUCUCAACAGAUAUUCCAUUGCAGAGUGGCAAAAUGAAGACUCUGGGACCGAUGUGCCUAGAUUUAAAGCCCCACCUACUUCUUAUUAGUUGCUGGACUUAAAGUUACUGAACCUUUAUGAGCCUCAGCAUUGCUUCUAUAACAUGGGAAUAGAAUAGUACCUCGUCACAGGGUUGUUGGAUUGACUAAAGGAGUAAUACAUGGAAAGCACUUAGAAUAGUGCUGGCACCAGUUUCACUGAUCGUCUUUUGACCAGUUUGUUCCUCAUUCCUAAAACUUGUGUCAUGAAAGUAGUGGAGAUGAGUCUUUCUUGCUAAGUACUACACAGUAUCUCCUGUACAUAUCAUGAUAGUGCCUUUAAGAAGUGGGUGUGCUAAAGGCACCAUUUAGGAGAAAGUGCUGUUCCAUGGAUGUGACUCUGGCAUGUGA